Molecule: unclassified non-coding RNA, 102 nt
Organism: Colobus angolensis palliatus
Lineage: Eukaryota; Metazoa; Chordata; Mammalia; Primates; Cercopithecidae
Rfam family: Y RNA
About the family: Y RNAs are components of the Ro ribonucleoprotein particle (Ro RNP), in association with Ro60 and La proteins. The Y RNAs and Ro60 and La proteins are well conserved, but the function of the Ro RNP is not known.
Source: Ensembl
GACUGGUCCAAAUGCAGUUGUGGUUACAAUUAAUUGAUCACAACCAGUUACAGAAUUCUUUGUUCCUUCUCUAUUCCCACUACCUCACUUGACUAGCCUUAA